This 586-nucleotide ribosomal RNA is filed under the name uncultured bacterium. RNAcentral describes it as "partial 16S ribosomal RNA". It matches the Rfam family "Bacterial small subunit ribosomal RNA", at positions 355 to 1375 of the family's 1533-position model. The record is from RNAcentral.
UGGGGAAUUUUGGACAAUGGGCGAAAGCCUGAUCCAGCAAUGCCGCGUGUGUGAAGAAGGCCUUCGGGUUGUAAAGCACUUUUGUCCGGAAAGAAAUCCUUGGCUCUAAUACAGUCGGGGGAUGACGGUACCGGAAGAAUAAGCACCGGCUAACUACGUGCCAGCAGCCGCGGUAAUACGUAGGGUGCAAGCGUUAAUCGGAAUUACUGGGCGUAAAGCGUGCGCAGGCGGUUUGCUAAGACCGAUGUGAAAUCCCCGGGCUCAACCUGGGAACUGCAUUGGUGACUGGCAGGCUAGAGUAUGGCAGAGGGGGGUAGAACUCCACGUGUAGCAGUGAAAUGCGUAGAGAUGUGGAGGAAUACCGAUGGCGAAGGCAGCCCCCUGGGCCAAUACUGACGCUCAUGCACGAAAAGCGUGGGGAGCAAACAGGAUUAGAUACCCUGGUAGUCCACGCCCUAAACGAUGUCAACUAGUUGUUGGGGAUUCAUUUCCUUAGUAACGUAGCUAACGCGUGAAGUUGACCGCCUGGGGAGUACGGUCGCAAGAUUAAAACUCAAAUGAAUUGACGGGGUCAUAGCUGUUUCCU